This is a long non-coding RNA of Leucoraja erinaceus (little skate), 550 nucleotides long. RefSeq lists it as uncharacterized. The record is from RefSeq and is a predicted model, not a curated record. NCBI's taxonomy places the organism in Eukaryota, Metazoa, Chordata, Chondrichthyes, Rajiformes, Rajidae. The transcript is spliced from 2 exons.
GGACGGGUGCAGAGGGAGCCUCACCCUGUGUCUGUGUCUGUGUCUGUGUCUGUCCCCACGGGAGUGUUGGUGCCCGGGGGCCGGGACGGAGGACGACUCAUUCCUGUUCUCCUUCAUUCAGGACCUGGAGCUGACCCUCUGGGCGACCAUUCUGGCCGUCAUCUGGCUGCACUCCUUCGCUGCCGACACCAAGCUGGAGUGGGAUCUCCUGGUCAACAAGUCCCUCUCCUGGGUCAAGGCCACGGGAGCUCCUGACCUUGCGGACUGUGUGAAAGCAGCAAACGCUCUUUUGAAAACCUGCGUCCUGCCCGAGACGCUGGGACUGUGAGGGGGAGGCGUGAAAAUGGUGCAUCGACCCAGAGAGUCGACCUGUGUCCCUCCCGCUGUGUGAUCUCCGCUGUUAUUGCUUCCCCUCUUGUAUCCGGGCGGCUUCGAUCCGGACAAACCUACCCCUGACACCUUGUGUUGGCCGACGGAGUUGUCAUCACUGCCCCCCUCUGCUUCAUGUAACACCGUUACUGUUCCAAUAAACCUGCUUGCUGCCUCAGUC